This 253-nucleotide ribosomal RNA is filed under the name uncultured bacterium. Its description in RNAcentral is "partial 16S ribosomal RNA". It matches the Rfam family "Bacterial small subunit ribosomal RNA", at positions 524 to 776 of the family's 1533-position model. The record is from RNAcentral.
UACGUAGGUGGCAAGCGUCGUCCGGAUUUACUGGGCGUAAAGAGCGCGCAGGCGGCCAAGUCAGUCGAAUGUGAAAGCCCCCGGCUUAACUGGGGAGGGUCAUUCGAUACUGCUCGGCUCGAAGACAGGAGAGGGAAGCGGAAUUCCCGGUGUAGUGGUGAAAUGCGUAGAUAUCGGGAGGAACACCAGUGGCGAAGGCGGCUUUCUGGCCUGUUCUUGACGCUGAGGCGCGAAAGCUAGGGGAGCAAACGGG